Molecule: ribosomal RNA, 69 nt
Filed under: Luffa acutangula (angled luffa)
Lineage: Eukaryota; Viridiplantae; Streptophyta; Magnoliopsida; Cucurbitales; Cucurbitaceae
Description: partial 18S ribosomal RNA
Rfam family: Eukaryotic small subunit ribosomal RNA
Source: RNAcentral
CUUGGUUUAUUUAGAGGAAGUAAAAGUCGUAACGAGGUUUCCGUAGGUGAACCUGCGGAAGGAUCAUUG